This 354-nucleotide long non-coding RNA is filed under the name Mytilus galloprovincialis (Mediterranean mussel). The record is from RNAcentral. Lineage: Eukaryota; Metazoa; Mollusca; Bivalvia; Mytilida; Mytilidae.
GGAUCCUCGUCCAUUUUUGAUUAUCAAAUUGACCUCUGGUAUUGAUCUUACUCUUCCUUUUUGCAGCUACAAAAAAAAUGAAAAAGAAAUCUAAUCGAUAAAGCCUUCCAACGAUUAAUAGAUCAUGUCGCAAUACAAGCAUCAUAAACAACAUAUACCUCAAGCUCUGAUCAAAGUGCAAAGUGUAAUACUUACUUCAUGAACUAGGGGACUAUAAUUUUUAAGUUUCGGUGGUGAUCUACAAGUUGUUGUUUUAAUCAAUCUGAUAUAAUUGCUGGCACAUGAAUUUAAUGUAACACUUCGCUUAUGAGCGACGAUUAAUAUGGGAAGCAUAAUAAAGGAAGACGUCACCGC